CGCGUAGGCGGCCUGAUAAGUAGGGGGUGAAAUCCUGCGGCUUAACCGCAGGGCUGCCUUCUAAACUGUCAGGCUAGAGCACAGUAGAGGCAGGUGGAAUCCCCGGUGUAGCGGUGGAAUGCGUAGAGAUCGGGAAGAACAUCAGUGGCGAAGGCGGCCUGCUGGGCUGUUGCUGACGCUGAGGCGCGACAGCGUGGGGAGCAAACA
RNAcentral lists this ribosomal RNA (207 nucleotides) under uncultured bacterium. Its description in RNAcentral is "partial 16S ribosomal RNA". It matches the Rfam family "Bacterial small subunit ribosomal RNA", at positions 568 to 774 of the family's 1533-position model. The record is from RNAcentral.